RNAcentral lists this ribosomal RNA (448 nucleotides) under uncultured bacterium. RNAcentral's name for it is "bacterial SSU rRNA". It matches the Rfam family "Bacterial small subunit ribosomal RNA", at positions 28 to 477 of the family's 1533-position model. The record is from RNAcentral.
GAUGAACGCUGGCGGCGUGCUUAACACAUGCAAGUCGAACGGGAAACAUUUUAUUGAAGCUUCGGCAGAUUUAGCUUGUUUCUAGUGGCGGACGGGUGAGUAACGCGUGGGUAACCUGCCUUAUACUGGGGGAUAACAGCCAGAAAUGACUGCUAAUACCGCAUAAGCGCACAGAACCGCAUGGUUCGGUGUGAAAAACUCCGGUGGUAUAAGAUGGACCCGCGUUGGAUUAGCUAGUUGGCAGGGCAGCGGCCUACCAAGGCGACGAUCCAUAGCCGGCCUGAGAGGGUGAACGGCCACAUUGGGACUGAGACACGGCCCAGACUCCUACGGGAGGCAGCAGUGGGGAAUAUUGCACAAUGGGGGAAACCCUGAUGCAGCGACGCCGCGUGAAGGAAGAAGUAUCUCGGUAUGUAAACUUCUAUCAGCAGGGAAGAUAAUGACGGUA